GCCGAAACAGCUCAGUUUGGAGAGCGUUAGACUGAAGAUAUAAAGGUCCCUGGUUCAAUCCCGGGCUUCGGCA
RNAcentral lists this transfer RNA (73 nucleotides) under Danionella translucida. It matches the Rfam family "tRNA". Rfam says of the family: Transfer RNA (tRNA) molecules are approximately 80 nucleotides in length. Their secondary structure includes four short double-helical elements and three loops (D, anti-codon, and T loops). The record is from Rfam by way of RNAcentral. Lineage: Eukaryota; Metazoa; Chordata; Actinopteri; Cypriniformes; Danionidae. RNAcentral also lists the same sequence under 1 other name.